This 427-nucleotide ribosomal RNA is filed under the name uncultured bacterium. RNAcentral describes it as "bacterial SSU rRNA". It matches the Rfam family "Bacterial small subunit ribosomal RNA", at positions 354 to 794 of the family's 1533-position model. The record is from RNAcentral.
UGGGGGAAUAUUGGGCAAUGGGCGAAAGCCUGACCCAGCAACGCCGCGUGAGGGAAGAAGGUUUUCGGAUUGUAAACCUCUGUCCUUGGGGACGAAGGAAGUGACGGUACCCAAGGAGGAAGCCCCGGCUAACUACGUGCCAGCAGCCGCGGUAAUACGUAGGGGGCGAGCGUUGUCCGGAAUGACUGGGCGUAAAGAGCGCGUAGGCGGCUUGAUAAGUUAGAAGUGAAAGUCCUGGGCUUAAACUUGGGGACUGCAUCUAAUACUGGUUGACUUAGAGUACAGGAGAGGGAAGCGGAAUUCCUAGUGUAGCGGUGAAAUGCGUAGAUAUUAGGAGGAACACCAGUGGCGAAGGCGGCUUUCUGGACUGACACUGACGCUGAGGCUCGAAAGCGUGGGAGCAAACAGGAUUAGAUACCCUGGUAGU